CUAGAAGUGCCUAGACCUGUCUAGACAGUGCUGGGUUUUCUGUCACUGCAAAGUUCAUGUAUAGGCUGAUGACCAGUGACUGGUGAUAUGCAAGAGGGGAUUUCAUAUAAAGGAUGCUCUAAGAUAUUGUGAUUCUACACUACUUUUACGAUUCUCUCCCAGAACUCGGAGCUCCUCGUUCGUUAGCUGAAGAGCUCCUUGGAUGUCUGCUCUGACAAGUUUCAUCCAUUUACAUGUGCCACUCAUUUUUCAGGUACAAAACAAAGAAUCGCUUUGCACAAAGCCAGAAGGGCUACGCUGAAAGAAUGAUCAGAAAAGAAUAAUACAUAGCAGGCCCACUGCUAGGCCUCUCACCUGAGAAGUCCAGAAUCGGGAAGACACAGGCUGUAUCAGUUGCACUGCGGCCUUAUUCACAAUAGCCAAGAUGGUGAAGCAACCCAAAUGUCCAUCAACAGGUGAAUGGAUAAAGAAGAAGAGGUCCAUGUACACAAUGGAAUAUUCACCAUGGAGAACAAUGAAUUAGUGCUCUUUGAGGCACCACAGAUGAUCCUAGAGAUAAUCAUGGAACAUGAGCAGGCCCACUGCUGAGCCUCUCACCUGAGAAGUCCAGAGUCGAGAAGGCACAGGCUUCAACAGCUGCACUACAGGAAUUUUCACAAUAACCAAGACAUGGAAGUAACCAAAAUGUCCAUCACCAGAUGAGUGGAAAAAGAAGGAGUGGUCCAUGUACAAAAUGGAAUAUUCGCCGUGGAAAACAAUGAAACACUGCUCUUUGAGGCACCAUAGUUGAUCCUGGAGAUAAUCACAUAACAUGAGGAAUGGAAAAAGGCUGAACAUCAGGAAUUAAUAAAGCCAUGCAAAUCCAGUGUACAAAAACUUUCACCUCACAGCCUUCAGGAUGAUCAUCAGCAAAAAAAAAAAAAAAAGUCUACAAAGAAUAAAUGCUGAAAGGGUUUUAGAGAACUGUGUACCCUUUAGCUGCUGGUGGGAUGUAACCUGGAAACAGCCAGUAGUGAGAACAGAAUAGAGAUGCGUUUAAGGGUAAAAAUGGAGCUACCAUGUGAUCUGGUAGGCCCACUAAUGGGCCUGUCACAUGAGUAGACCAGAAUCAAAAAGACACAGGCUGGCAAUCCUGCACUGCAGCAACAUGUACCAUAGCCAAGACCUGGAAGAAACCAAAAUGUCCAUUAACAGAAAAAUGCACCAAGAAGAAGUCGUCCAUGUACACAAUGGAAUAUUAGCCAUGAAAAAGCAUGGAACAGUGCCGUUGGCACCACCAUAGAAGGAUCUACAGAUAAUCACCCAACUUGAAGUAAGAAAGAAACCGAAAGACAGACAUCCUAUGACAUCACUUACAGGUGUUACCUAAAAAUUGAUACCCAUGAAAUAAUUUCCAAGAGAAGGACACACAUAGAUUCAGAAAACCAAAUUAUGUUUAACCAAAUGGAAAGGUGUAAGGAAUGUAUGAAUUAGGAUAUGGGGGUUAACAGACAUGUACUAAUACAUAUGAAAUAUAUAAUCACACAAUACCUAUGGGAUACGAAGAGAGGUCUACUCAACACUCUAUAAUAUACACGGGAAAGGAUCCAAAGAGGAAUAGACAGAUACAUUGAUAGGAUGAAUCAGAAACUGUACAGCUAGGAGAACUACAUUUUUAUCAAAUUUGCUCUGAUAAUUAAUAAAAAUUAAAUUUAAAAAGCAAACAAUUUAGGAUAUAUAUGCUCUUGGGGCUUUUCGCUGGCACAUUCCACUCUAAUUUGCUGCUUACUAACACAAUUUCCAGGAAAGCUCUGUUGCCCAAAAACCCAGAGUUGGAAAUGUAGAAAAGCUGCCGCCUUGUGGCCGUUUCCCACAAGAGCGGCUUUAAACCCACAGCUAAUGGUCACUUAACAUUCAGAAGGACUCAGGGCUGUAAAGGACACCUGCCCUAAACAACUGUGCGGAGGUAGGGAAUGGCCAAAAAAAUUCAAAACUGCAAAUUUUUCAAGAAAAUAAUAUGAAGAGGUUAAUUUGGCUCACUUUUAAAAAAAGGAAAAUGGAUAAAAGCUCAACCUCAGUAAUUAUUAGACUCAUGCAAAUCUAAUCUACAAAAAGGUUUCAACUCACACCAGCCAACUGG
Mesoplodon densirostris (Blainville's beaked whale) is the source of this 2119-nucleotide long non-coding RNA. RefSeq lists it as uncharacterized. The transcript has 4 exons. The record is from RefSeq and is a predicted model, not a curated record. NCBI's taxonomy places the organism in Eukaryota, Metazoa, Chordata, Mammalia, Artiodactyla, Ziphiidae.